GGAUUAGAUACCCUGGUAGUCCACGCCCUAAACGAUGUCUACUAGUUGUUGGUUCCCUUGAGGAAUUAGUGACGCAGCUAACGCAUUAAGUAGACCGCCUGGGGAGUACGGUCGCAAGAUUAAAACUCAAAUGAAUUGACGGGGGCCCGCACAAGCGGUGGAGCAUGUGGUUUAAUUCGAAGCAACGCGAAGAACCUUACCUACUCUUGACAUACCUGUCGUACUUUCCAGAGAUGGAUCGGUCAGUUCGGCUGGACAGGAUACAGGUGCUGCAUGGCUGUCGUCAGCUCGUGCUG
This 296-nucleotide ribosomal RNA is filed under the name uncultured bacterium. RNAcentral's name for it is "partial 16S ribosomal RNA". It matches the Rfam family "Bacterial small subunit ribosomal RNA", at positions 775 to 1067 of the family's 1533-position model. The record is from RNAcentral.